UGCCAGCCGCCGCGGUAACACGGGGGGCGCAAGCGUUAUUCGGAAUUAUUGGGCGUAAAGAGCAUGUAGGCGGAUGAAUUAGUCAGAGGUGAAAGCCCCGAGCUCAACUUGGGAACUGCCUUUGAUACUGUUUAUCUAGAGUCCGAGAGAGGUUAGUGGAAUUCCCAGUGUAGAGGUGAAAUUCGUAGAUAUCAGGAGGAACACCGAUGGCGAAGGCAUCUCUCUGGGUCGAUAUUGACGCUGAGGCGCGAAGGCGUGGGUAGCGAACGGGAUUAGAUA
Molecule: ribosomal RNA, 279 nt
Filed under: uncultured bacterium
Lineage: Bacteria
Description: partial 16S ribosomal RNA
Rfam family: Bacterial small subunit ribosomal RNA
Source: RNAcentral